Annulohypoxylon nitens is the source of this 103-nucleotide non-coding RNA. The record is from the annotation of a GenBank genome assembly. Lineage: Eukaryota; Fungi; Ascomycota; Sordariomycetes; Xylariales; Hypoxylaceae.
GGGCUUGUGGUUUAGUGGUAUAAUACUCCCUUAGCAUUAUUAGUCCAACUUGGAUCUAAUAAUCGUGUGGGAGUGGUCCGGGGUUCGAUUCCCCGCGAGUCCA